Long non-coding RNA from Oncorhynchus kisutch (coho salmon), 689 nucleotides. RefSeq lists it as uncharacterized. Lineage: Eukaryota; Metazoa; Chordata; Actinopteri; Salmoniformes; Salmonidae. The transcript has 4 exons. The record is from RefSeq and is a predicted model, not a curated record.
CCAAACAGGUGGACAUUUUAUUUUUUUGUUUUUUUGUUUUUUGUUGUUAUACUGGAACAAAAUCACCAGCAAAAGUAAAUACCUGUUUGAAAUCAGUCCAACAGGGGACGGUAUUUAGCAGACACUUUGAGGGUGUACCUACAGCCAUGCCUACUACUUAGAUUGUGUUGAGCGCCUCCUGCUCUGCGCUACGCUACCGCCAGACGGACACACAUUCUUCCAUUCAGUCAGUCAGUUGGCUUGUCUGACGCUAAAGUGCAAGUCGACUGUAGUCUCCCUUCUCUCGGGAUUUGUUUUGAGAGAAAGAGCGUUGUUUCUGUACAGCAAAAGAAAACAUGUGUGUAUAUUGGUUAUUUUGAAUGCGCUUGGAGAAAGUUAAAUUAGACUAUUUUCUUGCAAAAACGCGGACACAAUGUGACAAUGUUGACCAGCAGACUGGGUUAUCCAUGACGGAUUGGUAAAGAGCUGUUCAUUAAUCAAGGAAAAAGGGACGUAGCAAUGGGGAAACUUCAGUCCAAACAUGCGGGCAAACGUAGAGAGAACCCCGAAGGAGACAGUUUUGUUGUGAACGCUUUCCUCCGAAGAGCGAUGGGGGAAUGUGAGAUGUACAGCUCCUCAGAUCACAAACUGAACAACAUUCAGGAGUUUCCACAUAGUGAGCUGAAGGGGAGACAGCUCUUAGACCCAUC